This 253-nucleotide ribosomal RNA is filed under the name uncultured bacterium. RNAcentral describes it as "partial 16S ribosomal RNA". It matches the Rfam family "Bacterial small subunit ribosomal RNA", at positions 524 to 776 of the family's 1533-position model. The record is from RNAcentral.
UACAGAGGGGGCAAGCGUUAUUCGGAAUUAUUGGGCGUAGAGGGCGCGUAGGCGGCAUCGCAAGUGGAAGGUGAAAUCCCUCGGCUUAACCGAGGAACUGCCCUCCAAACUGCGUUGCUUGAGGCCGGGAGAGGUGAGUGGAAUUCCCAGUGUAGCGGUGAAAUGCGCAGAUAUCAGGAGGAACACCGGUGGCGAAGGCGGAUCUCUGGGCCUUACCUGACGCUCAGGUGCGAAAGCUAGGGGAGCGAACAGG